This 253-nucleotide ribosomal RNA is filed under the name uncultured bacterium. RNAcentral describes it as "partial 16S ribosomal RNA". It matches the Rfam family "Bacterial small subunit ribosomal RNA", at positions 524 to 776 of the family's 1533-position model. The record is from RNAcentral.
UACGAAGGGGGCUAGCGUUGCUCGGAAUCACUGGGCGUAAAGGGUGCGUAGGCGGGCCUUUAAGUCAGGGGUGAAAUCCUAGAGCUCAACUCCAGAACUGCCUUUGAUACUGAAGAUCUUGAGUUCGGGAGAGGUGAGUGGAACUGCGAGUGUAGAGGUGAAAUUCGUAGAUAUUCGCAAGAACACCAGUGGCGAAGGCGGCUCACUGGCCCGAUACUGACGCUGAGGCACGAAAGCGUGGGGAGCAAACAGG